UGAGGAAUAUUGGUCAAUGGGCGAGAGCCUGAACCAGCCAAGUAGCGUGAGGGAUGACUGCCCUAUGGGUUGUAAACCUCUUUUGAUUGGGAACAAAGAGCGCCACGUGUGGUGCGUUGCGUGUACCUUUCGAAUAAGCAUCGGCUAAUUCCGUACCAGCAGCCGCGGUAAUACGGAAGAUGCGAGCGUUAUCCGGAUUUAUUGGGUUUAAAGGGAGCGUAGGCGGGCUGUUAAGUCAGCGGUCAAAUGUCAGGGCCCAACCUUGGCAUACCGUUGAUACUGGCGGCCUUGAGUUCACACAAGGAAGGUGGAAUUCGUCGUGUAGCGGUGAAAUGCUUAGAUAGUUCGCAGAACGCCGAUUGCGAAGGCAGCCGCCCAGGGACGCACUGACGCUGAGGCACGAAGGCAUGGGGAUCGAACAGGAUUAGAUACCCUGGUAGU
Molecule: ribosomal RNA, 441 nt
Filed under: uncultured Paraprevotella sp.
Lineage: Bacteria; Pseudomonadati; Bacteroidota; Bacteroidia; Bacteroidales; Prevotellaceae
Description: bacterial SSU rRNA
Rfam family: Bacterial small subunit ribosomal RNA
Source: RNAcentral